This 467-nucleotide ribosomal RNA is filed under the name uncultured bacterium. RNAcentral describes it as "partial 16S ribosomal RNA". It matches the Rfam family "Bacterial small subunit ribosomal RNA", at positions 28 to 507 of the family's 1533-position model. The record is from RNAcentral.
GAUGAACGCUGGCGGCGUGCUUAACACAUGCAAGUCGAACGGAAAGGCCCAAGCUUGCUUGGGUACUCGAGUGGCGAACGGGUGAGUAACACGUGGGUGAUCUGCCCUGCACUUCGGGAUAAGCCUGGGAAACUGGGUCUAAUACCGGAUAGGACCACUUCUUGGAUGUUGUGGUGGAAAGUUUUUUCGGUGUGGGAUGAGCUCGCGGCCUAUCAGCUUGUUGGUGGGGUAAUGGCCUACCAAGGCGUCGACGGGUAGCCGGCCUGAGAGGGUGUACGGCCACAGUGGGACUGAGAUACGGCCCAGACUCCGACGGGAGGCAGCAGUGGGGAAUAUUGCACAAUGGGCGCAAGCCUGAUGCAGCGACGCCGCGGGGGGGAUGACGGCCUUCGGGUUGUAAACUCCUUUCGCUAGGGACGAAGCGUUUUGUGACGGUACCUGGAGAAGAAGCACCGGCUAACUACGUG